Long non-coding RNA from Apis laboriosa (Himalayan honeybee), 492 nucleotides. RefSeq lists it as uncharacterized. The transcript has 3 exons. The record is from RefSeq and is a predicted model, not a curated record. NCBI's taxonomy places the organism in Eukaryota, Metazoa, Arthropoda, Insecta, Hymenoptera, Apidae.
GGUUGGCCUGGUACUGCGAUCGGUACGCUGACACCUGGCGAUAUCAAACCUGGAAAUCAAUUUCAAGUUUAUUCGAUUUAUCCUCUCUUGGCGUAUCGUGAAAACGAAAGGUAGGAGGUAUUCGCAAAAAAUAUCGUAAGGGAAAAAGUAAGGUUAUAAUGAAUAAUAUCUGGAAGAUGAAUUUCGAUAUUUAUUCGACGGACGAUAUUUAUUCCUCUUUUGAAUAUUAUAAGAAGACAGUAAAAUAUGGACCAACCGAUAAGAAAAAAAAAACCUUGUUAAAGCAAGCCGUAAAAAAAAGCAUACAAGAAAAAAAAUACCCAUCAUCGAUUUAAAAAAAAAAAAAAAAAAGAAACCACUCGCUAAAUUCCAUUGAAAGCAGAGAAGAACAGUGUGAACGACCGUGUGAACGAAGAAGAAAGAGGGCCUUGGGUAGACGCAGAAGCGAUAAUAUAAUCCAUUACCGGGAAGCUGGAUAGCGUGUUAUCCGUG